GAGCUUACAUUUUAAUUUGCAUAAGGACAGUCUAUUUGAAGAUGUGUGUGAUAAGGAUGAUUGCCGUUAUAAGUAUUACUGAUUUCUAAGCACCUAUCAGUGUCAUCAAAGGAAUUUACAGAACAAUGACUGGACACUUCAUUGAUGAGUUUAUCCUAAAACACCUAUCUAUAGAUGAACUGGUUUAUUGUGAGCGAAACGGUUAUACUCCGCCCAGUUAAGUGAAAUAAAUUGAGUAAUAAAUAAUGAGUAAAUCACAAAACAG
Molecule: long non-coding RNA, 265 nt
Filed under: Mytilus galloprovincialis (Mediterranean mussel)
Lineage: Eukaryota; Metazoa; Mollusca; Bivalvia; Mytilida; Mytilidae
Source: RNAcentral